This 1068-nucleotide ribosomal RNA is filed under the name Triticum aestivum (bread wheat). RNAcentral's name for it is "partial small subunit ribosomal RNA". Lineage: Eukaryota; Viridiplantae; Streptophyta; Magnoliopsida; Poales; Poaceae. The record is from RNAcentral.
AGUCUACACAACUUUAACCUUGCCAUGUUAGCAAAGAAGUUUUGGCGACUUCUCAAAGACGAUUCUCUGUAUGCACAAGUAUUAAAAGCCAAGUAUUACCCCAAUGGUGAUAUAUUGAGUCUGGACCAAAAGAAGGAUUCAUCAUUUACAUGGCAGAGUAUCGUCACAGGUAUCCAAACUUUCAAAAGAGGGUGCAUUUGGCGUGUUUCGGGAUCACAUAUUAACAUUUGGGAUGAUCCCUGGAUUCCUGCUAGCGAGUCAAGGAAAAUUAUUACCCCAAGAAGAGGAACAAUGUUGUCCAAAGUGGAGGAAUUAAUCGAUCCGCAUACGGGUCACUGGGAUGGUGAGCUCCUACCUGACAUCUUUCUACCUGUUGAUGUGUACAGAAUACAACAAAUCCCUUUACACAUUGAAGCAGUAGAAGAUUUUGUAGCAUGGCAAUUUACUAGGUCAGGUACUUUCCUAGUACGCUCGGCCUACCACGUGGAGUUCAAUCACCAGUUCGGAAACCAAUUUGCUCGUUCAAACUAUCUCGAAAGGUCCCAAAUCAACCCAACUUGGAAGGACUUAUGGCAAUUGAGAAUCCCGGGGAAGAUAAAGCACUUCAGAUGGAAGGUACUUAAGGGCGUUUUACCUUGCUUUGGAGUUCUUGCGGGUAGGCACAUACCCCUGAUUCCACAAUGCCCGCUGUGCAAAGUUGUCCUGGAGGACAUACAACACUGUAUCUUCACAUGCGCGAGGGCUAACGUAGUAUGGUCUGCGCUCAAUCUUGGAGAAACUAUCAGGCAUGUGGUAGCUCAGGACCGGUCUGGUUCUGUUAACAUAGAGAUACUCCUACAACUCCGAACUAUGGUACAUGAAAUACUGGCUCCAGAGUUUGUCCUUGUUGCCAUGUGGUAUAUCUGGUGCCAGAGGAGGCAAGCAGUCAAAGGAGUGAGCAUGCAAGCUCCAGAUAAGAUGGCUGUGUCAAUUUGGGUAUUGGCCACGAACUUCAUCCAUGCAAAUACUCUGAAUCAGCCAGUUCGAAAAUCUGAUAAAUAUGGAAGAAACCUGAGACGGGUUGUGUGA